GUCCUGCGCGGUUGAUUACCAACGUGCUUGAGUUGGCAUUCCAAAAGAAGUUUCUUUCGGUUGCUCCUGGGAAAACUCAUGUUGCAAUUUCAGAGCGUUGAAGUGUGCUAAUAGUGGAGUCUGUUCCAUGUGCGUGGAAGGGAUGAUUGUGACACAUGGUCCUGUACAAGAAAAAAGGAAAAAGAUCUUCAAGUGAGCAAGUAGUUUGUGCACACCUUAAUACAGAAGCAGAAACACCAGGAAACCAAGCCCUAUCCAAGAAUCUGGUUCUGCUAAGGAAGCCUCUGGCUUGUCUUCUGGGGAGUGUUCAGGAAUCAUUUUGAUGAAUUCCAAUUAAGAGUCUUUUUGACACCAGGGGAUGCAAAGGUCAAAGGAUGCCCUGAGCAGCACAUAACAGACUACAUGGAGCACAGAUAAAGUGAGCACAACGAGACUUGCACAGUACACACAGCGUGUUCCUUAUCUACAGGAUGAGACGAGGCUGUUUUAAUAACUACCAUGAUGAAGAUGGAGAUGAACUUAUA
This is a long non-coding RNA of Lepidothrix coronata (blue-crowned manakin), 524 nucleotides long. RefSeq lists it as uncharacterized. Lineage: Eukaryota; Metazoa; Chordata; Aves; Passeriformes; Pipridae. The transcript has 4 exons. The record is from RefSeq and is a predicted model, not a curated record.